This 73-nucleotide transfer RNA is filed under the name Nyctereutes procyonoides (raccoon dog). It matches the Rfam family "tRNA". Rfam says of the family: Transfer RNA (tRNA) molecules are approximately 80 nucleotides in length. Their secondary structure includes four short double-helical elements and three loops (D, anti-codon, and T loops). RNAcentral also lists the same sequence under 1 other name. The record is from Rfam by way of RNAcentral. Lineage: Eukaryota; Metazoa; Chordata; Mammalia; Carnivora; Canidae.
ACCUGGCUGGCUCAGUGGGUAGAGCACGUGACUCUUGAUCUCAGGGUCAUGAGUUUAAGCCUCACGUUAGGUG